Molecule: long non-coding RNA, 592 nt
Organism: Tripterygium wilfordii
Lineage: Eukaryota; Viridiplantae; Streptophyta; Magnoliopsida; Celastrales; Celastraceae
Exons: 3
Source: RefSeq, a predicted model, not a curated record
UGUCCGAUUGAAACAAAAAUUCUAGAGAACUGUAACUUGUCCGAUUGAAGGAAGCAUUAGUGAAAUUCUUUUCUUUAUUACUUCAAUUCGACAAAUCUCAGUUGUAUAAGUUAUCGUUUCCGAUUUUCUACUUGAUUCUUUACUGAGCUCUUCCUGUUCCAAAGCGGAAAAUGUGCAAAGCGUUUGAAAUUUCAUAACAGAUGAAGCGACAAAAUGGACGCAGUGUUCGAUCCGCUAAGAGAGUGAGCCAAUAAGAGCGAUCGCCUCGUCAAGAAGUGCCGCAAGCCCGAUCGCUCAUGCGAUUCUGUAGGGCGAUGGUUUAGAAUUCUCGAGGGUGACAUUUCGUACAUAUUUAGAGUUUGUGGUGACGGGAUUCAUCUCUUCUUCGUCCUUAUAACAACAUCAUCGUUGGAUCUGGCUAGGAGUGCGACGCAAGCUUGAAAUGGUCAAAGAGGGUCCCAAAUACACAGUUCAUAGAAGUGGGACAAUCCAUGGCAUCCAGUGGUAUGCUUUUACUCUCUUGUUUAAUUAUCUCUCUCCCUCCCUGUCUCCCCCCCCCCCCCUUCUCUCUCUGUGUGUGAUUUCUAACUUC